This is a long non-coding RNA of Cyprinus carpio (common carp), 716 nucleotides long. The record is from Ensembl. NCBI's taxonomy places the organism in Eukaryota, Metazoa, Chordata, Actinopteri, Cypriniformes, Cyprinidae.
GAUUGUUUGCAGAUAAUGCUGUUCUUCUUUUUCAGAAGUUUUUGGUGAGCCAACUCUCACAAACCUUCCUAAAAACUAAAAGAGCUAUUACUGAGUCUCGGCUAAUCUUGCCAUGGUCAGCUCUUCCCAGAAGAGAAGGAAGACCAAGGAAAUUAUUUGCUCAGGAUGAGAAAUGAAGAUGGCCAUCUUGUGCUCAAACAAACAGAAGUCCUCUGAUGAUCUCAUCAGCCAAAUGAGGGGUUUUGACCAAGUGAUGCUCUUGAAAGGAGUGAAAGAAGAGGAUGUGGUAAAUUGUCUUAAAGCAGCUUGAAGAAUGGUCUGGGAUGUUAGGACUGAGAGAUCCUCUGACUGAGAGAAGCUACACCACAUCAGUGCUGGAUAUCAACCACAAACUGUUUCCAGACACGAGAGAAGAAGAUCAUGAUGGGGAGAUGAAACCAGUUUAGAUGUGAUGAUAAGGAAUCAUUAUUUUCUGAAACAGGAUCAAAUGUCUUAUAUGUAUCACAUGAUCUGUAUCACAGUUGACUGGAUGGGACUGUGUGACUCUUAAGGACAUUUCAUCACUCAUCUGUGUGAACUGAUUAAUAUAUGAGGUUAAUGUAUUUUUGAUUAUGAAUAAUUAUUUUCCUUGAAUCUUAUUUGUCUUGAUGCUACUUUAUCAUCUGUAUAGUCUAUGCUUCAAUAAAAUGAAAAUUGUGAAUAUUGUGUUCUGAAGA